GCUGUCCUGGACCUGUCGGCACCACAGACAGUUGCUCUGCUGUGCCUGUGGCCUCGGGGCAAAGAGAAAGUGGCGAUUUCUACACUCAGUGCUCGGGAACCAGUGGGCAUUGAGAAUGGUUUAUGGCCUGACAUUA
Molecule: small nucleolar RNA, 136 nt
Organism: Pongo abelii (Sumatran orangutan)
Lineage: Eukaryota; Metazoa; Chordata; Mammalia; Primates; Hominidae
Source: Ensembl